AAGGCUGUGGGAGCAUGUGGAGCCAUGGGGUUACCAUCCUUCGCAUCCUUGGUUGUGAUCAAGGAUGCACACUGCACCCUCUAGGAGAGUUCCUGAACUUACUUUCUUAAAUAUUGCAUGGUUGGGCAAACUUAGCACAGAUGCCUGAUAUGACGCAUGCAUCAGACCCCAAAGGAUGGAGCCCACGUCGGCUAGGAGAAGCAGCUCUUCGCUGGUGGUUGCAGAGGGAGCCUUCACAGGGGUAUAUCAGAAAGGGAUUCAGAUCCCCUGUUUGUGAUGUAACAGAAACUAUACGAGCUUUGAAACCAAGUAAAAACGUGGACCGGACCCUUGUCCUUACCUAGCCGUGUCAUGCUGCACACAGGUCCUGCUGUCUUGGUAGCAGUCCAUCUCCGAGGACUCCUGGGGAGAGGAUCCAAGCGCAGCCUGAUACCCAGUGUGCAUCCGACAAAUGUCAUAACAACAGCUGCCAUUCUGUGGGAAGACAUGUACAUUUUACACAUGCACUUUAAUGCAAGAAGCCUCGAAGAGAAGGCUCCUAAGACAAAUAGGAAUUUAGUUGGCCCAAACAAAACAAACCAAAAAUUCGUGUGGGAUUUCUGGAGUCCUGAACAUGGUCAACAUGAAAACAGA
RNAcentral lists this long non-coding RNA (633 nucleotides) under Chinchilla lanigera (long-tailed chinchilla). RNAcentral's name for it is "lncRNA (ENSCLAG00000024630.1)". Lineage: Eukaryota; Metazoa; Chordata; Mammalia; Rodentia; Chinchillidae. The record is from RNAcentral.